GGGGACAACCCGCCGAAAGGCGGGCUAAACCCGCGUACAUGCCACCGGGGCAUCCCGGAGGCAGGAAAGGCUUCGGCCGGACAGGGAUGGGCAUGCGGCGCAUUAGGCAGUAGGCGGGGCAACGGCCCACCUAACCGACGAUGCGUAGGGGUUCUGAGAGGAAGGUCCCCCACACUGGUACUGAGACACGGACCAGACUCCUACGGGAGGCAGCAGUGAGGAAUAUUGGUCAAUGGUCGGGAGACUGAACCAGCCAAGCCGCGUGAGGGAUGAAGGUACAGAGUAUCGUAAACCUCUUUUGUCAGGGAACAAAGGCGGGGACGUGUCCCCGGAUGAGUGUACCUGAAGAAAAAGCAUCGGCUAACUCCGUGCCAGCAGCCGCGGUAAUACGGAGGAUGCGAGCGUUAUCCGGAUUUAUUGGGUUUAAAGGGUGCGCAGGCGGUCUGUCAAGUCAGCGGUCAAAGCCCGGGGCUCAACCCCGGCCCGCCGUUGAAACUGGCAGUCUCGAGUUGGAGAGAAGUAUGCGGAAUGCGCGGUGUAGCGGUGAAAUGCAUAGAUAUCGCGCAGAACUCCGAUUGCGAAGGCAGCAUGCCGGCUCCACACUGACGCUGAGGCACGAAAGCGUGGGUAUCGAACAGGAUUAGAUACCCUGGUAGUCCACGCAGUAAACGAUGAA
RNAcentral lists this ribosomal RNA (676 nucleotides) under uncultured bacterium. RNAcentral describes it as "bacterial SSU rRNA". It matches the Rfam family "Bacterial small subunit ribosomal RNA", at positions 139 to 813 of the family's 1533-position model. The record is from RNAcentral.